This 431-nucleotide ribosomal RNA is filed under the name uncultured bacterium. RNAcentral's name for it is "partial 16S ribosomal RNA". It matches the Rfam family "Bacterial small subunit ribosomal RNA", at positions 29 to 507 of the family's 1533-position model. The record is from RNAcentral.
AACGAACGCUGGCGGCAGGCUUAACACAUGCAAGUCGAACGCCCCGCCAGGGGAGUGGCCGACGGGUGAGUACCGCGUGGGAACAUACCCUUUUCUACGGAAUAGCUCUGGGAAACUGGAAUUAAUACCGUAUACGCCCUACGGGGGAAAGAUUUAUCGGGGAAGGAUUGGCCCGCGUUGGAUUAGCUAGUUGGUGGGGUAAAGGCCUACCAAGGCGACGAUCCAUAGCUGGUCUGAGAGGAUGAUCAGCCACAUUGGGACUGAGACACGGCCCAAACUCCUACGGGAGGCAGCAGUGGGGAAUAUUGGACAAGGGGCGCAAGCCUGAUCCAGCCAUGCCGCGUGAGUGAUGAAGGCCUUAGGGUUGUAAAGCUCUUUCACCGAUGAAGAUAAUGACGGUAGUCGGAGAAGAAGCCCCGGCUAACUUCGUG